UGUCGAAUGGGGAAAUUCAUUCGCGUUUCGGCCGUCGGAGUUGAACGAUCGCGUGACGGAUGAUGUGCGUUCGCGUACGUUGUCCGCGCCUUUUGUUCUUCGAUCUGAUGCCGAACGCGUGCACUUUUCCCCUAGUAGGACGUCGCGAUCCGUUGGGUGUCUGUCUAAGACUCGAGGUGGAGCCCACGUGACAUUUACUCGUUGCGUGGACCCUUGAUGUUCCGACAGACUCGCUCGACGGUAUGCUAAUGGCGCGGGGCCGCCACUCAGUUGGCGUUCGGCCCGUAUCAAGCACGUUCUGCGUUUGAUGGCGAUCGGACUUAGUGCCGAUUCCGUCCCGGAACGACUGUUGGUUACGGUGUUCUCGAACAGACCUCG
RNAcentral lists this ribosomal RNA (378 nucleotides) under Phygasia fulvipennis. RNAcentral's name for it is "eukaryotic LSU rRNA". The record is from RNAcentral. Lineage: Eukaryota; Metazoa; Arthropoda; Insecta; Coleoptera; Chrysomelidae.